UCNUGGGAUAACACUGACGCUCAUGCACGAAAGCGUGGGGAGCAANCAGGAUUAGAUACCCUGGUAGUCCACGCCNUAAACGAUGUCUACUAGUUGUCGGGGAUUAAUUUCCUUGGUAACGCAGCUAACGCGUGAAGUAGACCGCCUGGGGAGUACGGUCGCAAGAUUAAAACUCAAAGGAAUUGACGGGGACCCGCACAAGCGGUGGAUGAUGUGGAUUAAUUCGAUGCAACGCGAAAAACCUUACCUACGCUUGACAUGUCCGGAACCCUGAAGAGAUUUGGGGGUGCUCGAAAGAGAGCCGGAACACAGGUGCUGCAUGGCUGUCGUCAGCUCGUGUCGUGAGGUGUUGGGUUAAGUCCCGCAACGAGCGCAACCCUUAUCAUUAGUUGCUACGCAAGGGCACUCUAAUGAGACUGCCGGUGACAAACCGGAGGAAGGUGGGGAUGACGUCAAGUCCUCAUGGCCCUUAUGUGUAGGGCUUCACACGUCAUACAAUGGUCGGUACAGAGGGUUGCGAAGCCGCGAGGUGGAGCCAAUCCCAAAAAACCGAUCGUAGUCCGGAUUGCAGUCUGCAACU
Molecule: ribosomal RNA, 580 nt
Filed under: uncultured bacterium
Lineage: Bacteria
Description: bacterial SSU rRNA
Rfam family: Bacterial small subunit ribosomal RNA
Source: RNAcentral